This 155-nucleotide unclassified non-coding RNA is filed under the name soil metagenome. RNAcentral's name for it is "partial internal transcribed spacer 1". The record is from RNAcentral.
CCGAAUGUUACCAAACAAACCACUGUGAACUGUCCCUUUAGCUGCUUCGGCGGGCGAUCCCAGGGCGGGAUCCCGGGCUCCUUACGGGGUGCUCGCCGGCGGCCACUUUCUAGCUCUGUUUCUAGCGGGCUUCUGAGUGUAAACCAAAAUAAUCA